This 310-nucleotide ribosomal RNA is filed under the name Escherichia coli. Its description in RNAcentral is "partial 23S ribosomal RNA". It matches the Rfam family "Bacterial large subunit ribosomal RNA", at positions 1592 to 1883 of the family's 2925-position model. Lineage: Bacteria; Pseudomonadati; Pseudomonadota; Gammaproteobacteria; Enterobacterales; Enterobacteriaceae. The record is from RNAcentral.
AACAAAUGCCCUGCUUCCAGGAAAAGCCUCUAAGCAUCAGGUAACAUCAAAUCGUACCCCAAACCGACACAGGUGGUCAGGUAGAGAAUACCAAGGCGCUUGAGAGAACUCGGGUGAAGGAACUAGGCAAAAUGGUGCCGUAACUUCGGGAGAAGGCACGCUGAUAUGUAGGUGAAGUCCCUUGCGGAUGGAGCUGAAAUCAGUCGAAGAUACCAGCUGGCUGCAACUGUUUAUUAAAAACACAGCACUGUGCAAACACGAAAGUGGACGUAUACGGUGUGACGCCUGCCCGGUGCCGGAAGGUUAAUUG